Small nuclear RNA from Mastomys coucha (southern multimammate mouse), 105 nucleotides. The record is from RefSeq and is a predicted model, not a curated record. NCBI's taxonomy places the organism in Eukaryota, Metazoa, Chordata, Mammalia, Rodentia, Muridae.
CUGGUUUCUGCAGCAAAUAUACUAAAGUUGGAAUGAUAUAGAGAAGAGUAGCAUGGCCCCUAUGCAAAAAUUUUACAUUUUUUAUCUUUUAUGAGAGAGAUUGUU